GACGAACGCUGGCGGCGUGCUUAACACAUGCAAGUCGAACGGAAAGGCCCUGCUUUUGUGGGGUGCUCGAGUGGCGAACGGGUGAGUAACACGUGAGUAACCUGCCCUUGACUUUGGGAUAACUUCAGGAAACUGGGGCUAAUACCGGAUAGGAGCUCCUGCUGCAUGGUGGGGGUUGGAAAGUUUCGGCGGUUGGGGAUGGACUCGCGGCUUAUCAGCUUGUUGGUGGGGUAGUGGCUUACCAAGGCUUUGACGGGUAGCCGGCCUGAGAGGGUGACCGGCCACAUUGGGACUGAGAUACGGCCCAGACUCCUACGGGAGGCAGCAGUGGGGAAUAUUGCACAAUGGGCGGAAGCCUGAUGCAGCAACGCCGCGUGCGGGAUGACAGCCUUCGGGUUGUAAACCGCUUUCGCCUGUGACGAAGCGUGAGUGACGGUAAUGGGUAAAGAAGCACCGGCGAACUACGU
Molecule: ribosomal RNA, 467 nt
Filed under: uncultured bacterium
Lineage: Bacteria
Description: partial 16S ribosomal RNA
Rfam family: Bacterial small subunit ribosomal RNA
Source: RNAcentral